Lolium rigidum is the source of this 2582-nucleotide long non-coding RNA. RefSeq lists it as uncharacterized. The record is from RefSeq and is a predicted model, not a curated record. The transcript has 3 exons. NCBI's taxonomy places the organism in Eukaryota, Viridiplantae, Streptophyta, Magnoliopsida, Poales, Poaceae.
UGGGCUCGGGAGUUAUGAGUGCUACGAGGCCCAAACAUCUCUGAAUGAGCUGCAGAUGGAGGUGACGCAUAAGGUUGAUUCACGCUGACUCUCUAGGUGAGAAAUUGUCAGAGAAACCAACUCCAGACGAGCUCGAUGAGGUGCCGAUUCGAACCCUGUAGUCGUUGUGUGCCAUCGCCUGGGAGUCGCCCUGGUGCAGGUGGAGGUGCCGAGCAGACAUGGAUGCGUGUGAGUCAGAGGAGAAGAUGACCAGGGCAUCUUCAGUGAGAGGUUGUAGAACUCCCCUGAUGGUGGCUAGCUCCACAUGCCUUGUUGGUUUUUCUCCUCCCAGCAGAUGAGUGCCUCUCUCUCCUCUUAGCAUUUUUUCUGAUUGUGUUGAAAUUGAUUUUAAUUUUCUGUCAUUGAGCAUCUCCUGGAUAUUGUCAAAGGAAGGAUGUAGAAUAAGCAGUAUUCAGAUAUUUAAUGUACAUGGACCUGAACCUGCACAUCAAAAUUGUGAUGUUGGUAACAAAAAUGAUGAUAUUUCUUCCUGAAGAUUUUGAGUUAUGUGUUACCAGUGAAUUGGAUAUCAGAAGCCUGAUAGUGUAAGGAAUUUAAUCGAGAGACAAUGUAAAAUGAGAUUGUAGAGGGAUUGUCCAGGCUAGAAAGAAAGGAUGGAGGCCAAGAAGAGUUUGUGAUGGUCACGGAAUAAGAAGUUUUCUAGAAAGAGUUUUCUUUGUAUUUACGAUUUACUCCUUUUGGAAAUGUUAGCAGGUAACCUGGUGCUCUGGUUUUGCAUACUAGGUAUGCUAUAUUGUUUGCAAGAAAUGGAUGAAAGUGAGUUCAGUACAUCAAAGGUUAAAUUGGUGUGUAUGUCAUGUGCUCUGCCGGUGUGACAAAUCGAGGUACAACAUUCUUGCAAAUGAAAAAAAUAUCCCGCUGUAUUUAUUGAAGCCCAAGGUUGCAAUGGAGCCUUUUACGGUAUAGUUGGAGCAAAUUAUUACAGCUAAAAUUCUUGUAUCACUGCAGGUGGCAUUUCAUCAUCUACUGAAAUUGAUUCAUGUUGGCACAUUAUUACUUGCAUGUUGGCACAUUAUUACUUACAGCUAAAAUCCUUAAUCCCAAUUGUUCUGUAGUGUGAGACAAUUUAUUCAUGUUGGCACAUUAUUGCUUGCAUCGGUCUAAUAGUCUAUGUGUGGCCCUCAUGAUGUCAUGAGAAAAUUUACUUAUUUGUUGAUCUUGAGUUCACUCUAUUCUAUCUAUUGAGUAGUCUUGGUUCAAAGCUUUAUUUCACUAUUUUUCAAACAAUUUCUCUAUUAGCCUAUUUAGUCAUACAGCAUGGUUAAAGUUAUUUACAAUACAAAUUGUAAUGAAUGUAUCAGUUUCGUGGAUUAACUUUAAGAUCUUCUAGGUAAAAGCUUAGCGUGUUGUAUAUAAUCUAUUUUGUACAAAUUUAGCUCGAGUCGAUUUUACAAUGAUUUGUAUAUAAACUAUUUUGAGAGAUUAGAGAUUGCUCAGGUAACUAUUUGAAGUACCACAAGAUGAACUCAUUGAUUAGAGAUAGAGAUUAGAGAUGGCUCAGGCAUACUUGCCAUACUAUUUAGAAAAGCUCAUUGGGAGUCCAGAGAUGAGGUACUGAGGAGGUACUGCGUUAACCAGUAAACUUUUGAAGUCUUCUUACAUAGUUAUUAGUAAGAUUAUCGGAAUCUUUUUAAAUAGUUAUUAGUAUAAACAUAAGUUUAUCUUACAUUGUUUGCUUGCUCUAUUUUUGUGCAUGGAACAAGUUUACAGAUGUACUUUAUGACAUGGCAAAGAGGUCCGAGAGCCUUUGUUGAAAUAGCAUACCAACUAAUAUCUAUACUCAGGAGCAAUAUGAGUCAUUCCCAAUACCUUUUAAACUAUGCAACUUAUAUGAUAAAACUUGCUCGCCGGAAAAGUAUGAAACACUGCUUGGCUCUCUUCUCGCCGAGGCUUGUAUCUGUUGUGUCCUUUUAUAACAAAGUAGUAUUUUGGUAAUUAACCUUGUAGCUGCUCUCUUCAAAAUAAAGUUUUGUUUACUGUAGUGAGAUAACCCAUGUGUAUUCAUCUUGGAUAAUAUUGUUUCUCCUAAAUGACAACUUAAUUUAUACAUGAACUUAACUAUAGUUUGCCUUUUUUAUAUGUUAAUUAAGAAGUUAGUGAAUGCACGGAAGGAUCACCUGAAAGUUCUGAUAAAUCGCUGCAUAUAUUAUUCACCUGAAAGGAUAAAGUAAAAAGUGGGACAAAUGUUUCGCCAGGAACGUGGACGAGCUUCCUCCUAAAUGCCUCGAGAACAACCCCACUGAUCUCAUUGUUGUACUGUGUCUGCUUCACUUCGCCCCGGGAGGAUUUUGAGGUGAAGUAGUUGAGGAGCAUGAUCCAGCUAUAGAGAUCGCCGAAGAAGACAUAUAGAAGGUGUAUGGUAGCACUUUGACAAUGUUUUUGAAACUGGAGGUGAAGAUGAGGUGUCGAGCAAUUGAAGUAAUUCCUGAAAGAUCUAGAGAUAGUUUCAUGCCUUAAGGAGAUUUUGUUAUAAACGAAUGCUUUUUUUUAUUGGUGUCGUGACUUGUGAUGACCAAUGAUUU